UUGCAAUCAUAAACCUAAAUCUAAGGGCUGUUAUAACUUGAACUUAAAUGAAUGGAUGAGAUGGACAGAUGGUCUUGGUCGUGGCUGUGCUGUUCCUGAUGGAUAAUUGGUCCAUUUGAAUCUGGUCAAGGGAAGGCUGGCUCCUUAUUGGCUAGCUAAAGGCUCCCAUGAAUCUGCCCACUUCUUUUGCUAGAUACAUGGUCUCCUUUUGCUUUUACUUUACAGCAAGAGACUCUCCUUUCCAGCCUGUCACUCGCCAGCCUCUCCUUUGUCUUCUUCUCUUAAGAGUUUCACCAGUGCCCUAUUUUUGCACCAACUCCAAAUGUGCUCAAAUGGUUGACUGGUGAACUUUCGGGAUGUCUCGGUCCGUACGGAUCCGUACGGUCCGUACAACGUCCGUACCAAAUCCGUACAGCCAGUCCCUAAGUUUGCACACUCGCCCAAAUACUCUUCUAAGUCCCUCCUGGACUUGGCCCUAUCUUUGCACCACACUUCCAUCUUCUCUCUAACUCCUCCAAAGCCCUCACAUGAUCAGUCUAAGUCUUUCCUAGACUUAUCUUCACAAGAUAACUUCUUCAGAACACUUCUGAAGCUUGAUUGAACUCUUCUAGACAUCUUCUAGAGCUUGCCCUAUCAUUGUACAAGCUCCAUCUUCUCUUCAGUUCAACACUCCCCCUCAAGCUUGACUUUAGGAGAUCCUAAGCCAAGCUUGGAACUCUGAAGAGUCUCCCUCAUUAAAAACCUUACAAGGAAAACCCAUUGGGACAAAACCUUGCAAGGGAAAAAGAGUAGAGCUCUCCAAAGCCUAGGGAUUGGCCAGUGAGCUCUUGUGCCUUAGAACCAGUGUGGUUGGACACAAGAAGCUCUGGAUCACGGCCUAAUAGGUGCAGCAACUCUUCAGAGCUUUGCGCACACUUCACACUUCAGCUUCACCUCUUCAUUGAACCGGUUUGAAGUCUCCCCCUCUCAACUGACUUCUCAGCCAUCUUAGAGAAGCUAGGACACGACCAGAUCAUCUUCAAAACACCAGUGAGGCUGAUCAACACUUCACACACGGCUUGCCCUCUUCAUAGAACUGGUUUGAAUCUCCCCCUCUCAACAGACUUCACAGCCACCUUAGAGAAGCUAGGAAAUGACCAGGAACACCUUUAGUGAGGCUCAAGCAAUGGUACCUGAUACAUUAUCCCAAAGGUGCAUCAGUACCUAUCAAAAAACAAGAAAAUGAAUAUCCUGCAUCACACUUGAUGCACACAAUCUCACAAUUCAAUCAUAAUCAUUUUAUGUAUCUUUUCAAGCACAAGCAAUGAAUAAGAUGAAUAAAAAGGUUUAAAAGUCUAAGGGAACUUCCCUUGUGUUUUUGUGAGUUUCCUAACUCCGCCAAUGCACCAUCUUCAUGGCAUCACCAACU
This 1408-nucleotide long non-coding RNA is filed under the name Brassica rapa (field mustard). Its description in RNAcentral is "long non-coding RNA (BRAP_LNC008487)". The record is from RNAcentral. Lineage: Eukaryota; Viridiplantae; Streptophyta; Magnoliopsida; Brassicales; Brassicaceae.